RNAcentral lists this ribosomal RNA (459 nucleotides) under uncultured bacterium. RNAcentral's name for it is "partial 16S ribosomal RNA". It matches the Rfam family "Bacterial small subunit ribosomal RNA", at positions 338 to 795 of the family's 1533-position model. The record is from RNAcentral.
CCUACGGGUGGCAGCAGUGAGGAAUAUUGGUCAAUGGGCGCGAGCCUGAACCAGCCAAGUCGCGUGAGGGAAGACGGUCCUAUGGAUGGUAAACCUCUUUUGUCGGGGAGCAAAAGACGCUACGCGUGGCGUUCCGAGAGUACCCGAAGAAAAAGCAUCGGCUAACUCCGUGCCAGCAGCCGCGGUAAUACGGAGGAUGCGAGCGUUAUCCGGAUUUAUUGGGUUUAAAGGGUGGGAAGGGGGAAGAUCAAGUCAGCGGGAAAAUUGAGAGGCUCAACCUCGUCGAGCCGUUGAAACUGGCUGUCGUGAGUGAGGGAGAGGUAUGCGGAAUGCGUGGUGUAGCGGUGAAAUGCAUAGAUAUCACGCAGAACGCCGAUGGCGAAGGCAGCAUACUGGAGCUCAACUGACGCUGAUGCACGAAAGUGUGGGUAGCGAACAGGAUUAGAUACCCCAGUAGUC